Molecule: ribosomal RNA, 568 nt
Filed under: uncultured bacterium
Lineage: Bacteria
Description: bacterial SSU rRNA
Rfam family: Bacterial small subunit ribosomal RNA
Source: RNAcentral
CCUACGGGAGGCAGCAGUGGGGAAUAUUGCACAAUGGGCGAAAGCCUGAUGCAGCGACGCCGCGUGAGGGAUGACGGCCUUCGGGUUGUAAACCUCUUUCAGCAGGGAAGAAGCGAAAGUGACGGUACCUGCAGAAGAAGCGCCGGCUAACUACGUGCCAGCAGCCGCGGUAAUACGUAGGGCGCAAGCGUUGUCCGGAAUUAUUGGGCGUAAAGAGCUCGUAGGCGGCUUGUCACGUCGGGUGUGAAAGCCCGGGGCUUAACCCCAGGUCUGCAUUCGAUACGGGCUAGCUAGAGUGUGGUAGGGGAGAUCGGAAUUCCUGGUGUAGCGGUGAAAUGCGCAGAUAUCAGGAGGAACACCGGUGGCGAAGGCGGAUCUCUGGGCCAUUACUGACGCUGAGGAGCGAAAGCGUGGGGAGCGAACAGGAUUAGAUACCCUGGUAGUCCACGCCGUAAACGGUGGGAACUAGGUGUUGGCGACAUUCCACGUCGUCGGUGCCGCAGCUAACGCAUUAAGUUCCCCGCCUGGGGAGUACGGCCGCAAGGCUAAAACUCAAAGGAAUUGACGG